AUGGCAAGACAAGUAGAUACUUUUGACGAUGAUGAUCCAUUGGAAGAUGACUUUGAGAAAGGGACUGGGCCCAAGCGGUUUCGCUAUAGCGAUCUUGCCGCCGCCACCAGCAACUUCUCUGACGGCAAGAAGCUGGGUGAAGGUGGUUUCGGUUCGAUUUACAAAGGAUUCUUGAAGGAGCUUAAAGUUGAGGUGGCUAUAAAAAGAGUGUCCAAGACCUCCAAGCAAUGGAGGAAGGAGUACAUCUCAGAAGUGAAGAUCAUUAGCCGGUUGAGAGACCGAAACCUAGUACAACUCAUUGGUUGGUGCCAUGGCGACGGCGAACUCUUGCUUGUCUACGAUCUUAUGCCCCAUGGAAGCCUAGAUACUCACCUUUACAGUUCAAACACCAUAUUAUCGUGGCCACUCAGGUAUGAGAUCAUGCUGGGUUUAGGGUCCGCGCUUUUGUACCUGCAUCAAGAUUGGGAGCAAUGUGUUCUGCACCGUGACAUCAAGCAAGCAACAUCAUGUCUGGCAGGAACAGUGGGCUACAUGGACCCUGAGUGCAUGGUCACUGGAAGGACCAGCACAGAGUCCGAUGUCUACAGCUUCGGCGGCGUCAUGCUUGAGAUCGCCAGUGGCAAGCGGUCCACAGUUGCUCGGGGACGAGAGGAUGUCAUUCAUCUAGUGCAAUGGGUCUGGAAUUCAUGGGGAAGUGGAAGGACCCUUGAGCUGGCCGAUGCACAGCUCAACCUGGAGUUCAAUGACCAGGAGAUGGAGUGCGUGAUGGUGGUCGGGCUCUGGUGCGCGCACCCUGACCGGAGCUUGAGGCCGUCCAUCAAGCAAGCGGUCAGCGUGCUAUGCUUUGAGGCACCUCUGCCAAGCCUUCCGGCAAAGAUGCCCGUCACGACAUUCACGACAGCAAUUGAUUCUUCAUUACUUUGAGGACGAUGUAGUUACAUAUACCGAGUUGCCUACGCGUUGCGCGCCUCAAUUGACUGUGGAUCGAUGGCAGCUGCCCCACGGCGCCUUCUCGUGCUUCUCCUCGCCGUUGUCUUGUCCUCCUCUUACGUCGACGUCGCUGUAGCACAGGGAGUGUCACAUUGGUUCUGCUCGACCACGGGCGACUACGGAGUGUACAGCCGGUACCGGCUAAAUCUUUUGGCCCUCAUGGCCGACCUCCCGGCGCGUGCCCUCGACAACCGUUUCUACUACAACGGCACGGCCGGCGAAUCACCGGACAAGGUGUUCGGCCUCGUCUUGUGCUAUGCCGACCGCAACUGGACCAAGUGCCACGACUGCCUCUACACCGCGGCCUCCGUGAUACAGCAGUCGUGCCCGUUCAGCCGGCAGAUGAAGGGCGCCUACGACUCAUGCCUUCUCCGCUACUCCAACGAGUCCUUCGUCUCCGUCGCCGACCUCGACUUCGCCAUCUACGUGGAGGACCCGUCCAGCAUGAACAGGACCUACGUGGACGACCCGUCCAGCAUGAACAGCACGAGGUGGGAUCUGCUCACCCGGCUAGCGGCGGAGGCGGCGCGUUCGCCGCUGCGGCUCGCGAACGGGAGCGUGCCGUACGCGGCCAGUUCGCACUCGCCGACGACCAUGCACGGCCUGGCGCAGUGCACGAAGGACCUGAACGCGAGCGAGUGCGGCAGGUGCCUUACCAAGUUCGUGGCAAAGCUCUCCGGUAUGUUCCCUAACAACACCUAUGCUGGCAUCAAGGGCUACAGCUGCUACGCCGUAUACAGCAUCGGCGACGCCGAGUUUCUCCAAGUUCCGCCACUUGCCGCCGACAGGAUUAGCAGCAGGACGCCGCUGGUGGCCGGCGUGUCUGCCGGUGUCGUCGUUGUAUUCAUCUCAUCGAGUCUCUUGGUUUGUUUCCUUUUACGCUGUCGGAAGAGAAAUCGCAUGGCGAGACAAGUAGAUACUUUCGAAGAUGAUCCCAUGGAGGAUGACUUCGAGAAAGGGACCGGACCCAAGCGGUUUUGUUAUAGCGAUCUUGCCGUUGCCACCAGCAACUUCUCUGACGAGAAGAAGCUAGGUGAAGGUGGUUUCGGUUCCGUGUACAAAGGAUUCUUGAAGGAGCUUAAGGUUGAUGUGGCUAUAAAACGAGUGUCCAAGACCUCCAAGCAGGGCAGGAAGGAGUACAUCUCAGAGGUGAAGAUCAUAAGCCGGCUGAGACAUCGAAACCUCGUGCAACUCAUUGGCCGGUGCCAUGGCGGCGGCGAACUCUUGCUUGUCUACGAUCUUAUGCCCCACGGCAGCCUAGACAGUCAUCUUUACAGUUCAAACACCAUAUUAUCGUGGCCACUCAGGUAUGAUAUUGUGCUGGGGUUAGGGUCUGCACUUCUGUACCUACACCAGGACUGGGAGCAAUGUGUUCUGCACCGUGACAUCAAGCCAAGCAACAUCAUGUUAGACGCGUCGUUCUGCGCCAAACUUGGUGAUUUUGGGCUAGCGCAGCUUGUCGACCACGACCGAGGACCAUACACGACUGGUAUUGCAAGAACAAUGGGCUACAUGGACCCUGAGUGCAUGGUCACGGGAAGGACAAGCGCUGAGUCUGAUGUCUACAGCUUCGGCGUAGUCAUGCUCGAGAUCGCCUGUGGCAAGCGGCCCGCUGUUGCUCGGGGACGAGAAGACAUCAUUCAUCUGGUGCAAUGGGUCUGGGAUUCAUGGGAAAGCGAAGGACCCUUGCCGCGGCCGAUGCGCAGCUCAACCUGGAGUUAG
RNAcentral lists this ribosomal RNA (2712 nucleotides) under Triticum aestivum (bread wheat). RNAcentral describes it as "partial small subunit ribosomal RNA". Lineage: Eukaryota; Viridiplantae; Streptophyta; Magnoliopsida; Poales; Poaceae. The record is from RNAcentral.